NNNNNNNNNNNNNNNNNNNNCUGGCCCCACCCAGGGAUGCAGUCACUUCCCAGCAGUGCCCCGUUCCCUCCCACCAGCUCGGGGAAUCACCAAAUAAGAGCAAAGUCUCAUCUUGGGAGAGCAACGGGGCGGGAACUUGGUGAAGCCUCCAGGAUCAUGGCCUGGGAAUGGCAGAGCCUGCGUUUCCCUGCACUCAGCGGGUGGCUGGAGACAGGCUGGCCAUUGGAGACAUGCGGGGCUGGAGGGGCUGCGGGGAAUAAACCCUGCUCCAGCUGCUGCGUCGGACUUGUGCGUUGUCCCUGUGGGCUGUCCCUCUUGGGGGACAAGGAGAUGAUGGGGCCACGGUGGCCUCGUAAAGCUGCUGGGAAGGAUCCACAGCUCCAUGGAGCUGCCGACCUGGGGCUCUGUCCUGUUCCUCCUUGCCGGAGCAGGGAGCACUUAGCGCUGUCAGCACGUUCAUGUCCCCGCCACGGACACCUGAUGACUUCCAGGUCUUGCACAGCACAGCCUGUCCCCGUGUAUGGCACAGCCAGCCUGCCUUUCCCGAUGCUGCAGCAGGGCUCCUUCGCUGCAACCCUGCUCCAGACCCUUCCCUCGAGGGGCCAGAGGCUUCCUGCCCCCAUACCUGCCGGGACGGGGGGAAACCUGCUCUCCUCACCAAAGCCCGCAGCCUUUCCCCGCCGCUGUGGACCUCUCUCGGUGCCACCGAGCACCCCUGUGUCCCCCGCACAUCCUGCCAAGCCCCACACCGAGCUUGCCCCAUCCCAUAUGGAUCCCAUCAGAUGGGUACAGACCCCGGCACGGACCCUGGAAUGCGGCGCAGCCCUCCCUGGCCAGUCCAGCGUGCCUGCCUCUUGCCAAGACAAAUGAGCCCUUCCGGAGUAUUUCCAAUGUUUUAACAACUUGGGUUUGUUUCUAACUUUGGGCAGGCCCGAAGGGUCAGCAAACAGUGCCAGAGUAUUUCUCAGGACAAACUUCUCAAAACUCCUGCAAGAUGCAGCCUGGCGCUGGCAGGACUCUGGCACCUCGCUGCCCAGAGCUCGGGGGGGCACACAGGCUGGGGACACCCCCUCCUCGCCCCAGGAUC
This 1087-nucleotide long non-coding RNA is filed under the name Anser brachyrhynchus (Pink-footed goose). RNAcentral describes it as "lncRNA (ENSABRG00000016848.1)". Lineage: Eukaryota; Metazoa; Chordata; Aves; Anseriformes; Anatidae. The record is from RNAcentral.